RNAcentral lists this long non-coding RNA (1086 nucleotides) under Capra hircus (goat). RNAcentral's name for it is "lncRNA (ENSCHIG00000002481.1)". Lineage: Eukaryota; Metazoa; Chordata; Mammalia; Artiodactyla; Bovidae. The record is from RNAcentral.
ACCCUGCCUCAUUCAAAGGGAUUGGGUCUCUUGGUCCUCAGGGCGGAGAGCUGUUCAGGCAGCCAGGAUGGGAGGGAAGGGGGCUGGGCGAAGCCCGGGGGUCUCACUGCAUGCCCGGGGGGGGGGACGGCCGGGGUCCCCUGCUGCCUCCGUCUUCCUUCUUCUUCUCUGCCAGCGUCCUCUCUGCUCCACCCAAAUAAAUGCCAGCGGUCUCAGACCCCAGUUCAAACACACCACUACAUCCUAGAGGGAAGAAGGAAUGGGGUAACCAGCCUGGGAGCGGCGAGGACGCAAGGACCACAGCUGCAGGGAGCAUCAGUCACCACCCGAUGGACGAGCUUCAGACAUGCUGGCCCUGAACACCAGCUGCUGGAUACAGAGCCACGGAGGGCGGCAGAGUCCUUCUCAGAGAUCCCUCCACGCCACCAGCCCCAGGUCGACCGGAGGGUGUGGGGAAGCAGGGAAUUCAGGGGCCACGGAGAAACCCCCACUCCAGCUUCUCCAUUUCCAGUGAGUGCCAGCUGGACGUCCGGGCACUCGCAAACGUGGACUCGUACAAGGUUGGCAAAAGCAACAGGCUUAGAGGAGCUGGCCCCAACUCGAACUAGGGCGUCCUCCCAGCUCUUGGCUCCCCCAAACCCGCAAGCCCUCACUCACCCGGCAGAAGCCCGCUGCUCUCCUCCGAAGGCAGAAACAGCCGUGGAUUUUAAGACCUGAGAUGAUGCAACACUGUGGCUGUAACUCUGGACUGAAUCUUGCUCUGUAUUCUAUGUAUCAUAUUCUCUGAGAUAAAAAGGCACUUCAGAGCAAAAAAAACACCAAACUCUGGGCAAGUUAAGAGCUGCUGGAGUUACAUACGUGGGGAAGAGCAAAGUUCUCCAAGAUGGUGUGGUCAAAUGAACAGGAAGCUUUCCAAAGAACAGGGGCAAAUUCAGAAGAACGGGUAAGUUCAGAAGCCGGUGGUCCAGAUGAAUGCGGACCCCAAGGUCCAAUUCUGGGUUUUGCUCUGAGCUACAAGCUUCAUCACUUUGUUCAAAACCCCCAGAGUUUUGUGUUCAUAAUAAAUGUAUUGCCUUGAUCACCCCU